This 567-nucleotide ribosomal RNA is filed under the name uncultured bacterium. Its description in RNAcentral is "bacterial SSU rRNA". It matches the Rfam family "Bacterial small subunit ribosomal RNA", at positions 338 to 916 of the family's 1533-position model. The record is from RNAcentral.
CCUACGGGAGGCAGCAGUGGGGAAUAUUGGGCAAUGGAGGAAACUCUGACCCAGCGACGCCGCGUGCGGGAUGAAGGCCUUCGGGUUGUAAACCGCUUUCAGCAGGGAAGAAGCGAAAGUGACGGUACCUGCAGAAGAAGCACCGGCUAACUAUGUGCCAGCAGCCGCGGUAAUACAUAGGGUGCAAGCGUUGUCCGGAAUUAUCGGGCGUAAAGAGCUCGUAGGUGGUUCGUCACGUCGGAUGUGAAACUCUGGGGCUUAACCCCAGACCUGCAUUCGAUACGGGCGAGCUUGAGUAUGGUAGGGGAGUCUGGAAUUCCUGGUGUAGCGGUGGAAUGCGCAGAUAUCAGGAGGAACACCAAUGGCGAAGGCAGGACUCUGGGCCAUUACUGACACUGAGGAGCGAAAGCGUGGGGAGCGAACAGGAUUAGAUACCCUGGUAGUCCACGCCGUAAACGGUGGGCACUAGUUGUGGGGACCUUCCACGGUCUCUGCGACGCAGCUAACGCAUUAAGUGCCCCGCCUGGGGAGUACGAUCGCAAGAUUAAAACUCAAAGGAAUUGACGG